This 119-nucleotide small nucleolar RNA is filed under the name Medicago truncatula (barrel medic). RNAcentral's name for it is "snoRNA gene30892". It matches the Rfam family "Plant small nucleolar RNA U3". Rfam says of the family: Small nucleolar RNAs (snoRNAs) are involved in the processing and modification of rRNA in the nucleolus. There are two main classes of snoRNAs: the box C/D class, and the box H/ACA class. U3 snoRNA is a member of the box C/D class. The record is from Rfam by way of RNAcentral. Lineage: Eukaryota; Viridiplantae; Streptophyta; Magnoliopsida; Fabales; Fabaceae.
ACGACCUUACUUGAACAGGAUCUGUUCUAUAGGAUCGUACUACUGUGUCCUUGAUUUCUAAGGAAACAGAAACAAAAAACAAUAUUAUCAAAGAAACCAAAAAGAAGCUAUUUUUGUUA